UGGGGAAUAUUGGACAAUGGGCGAAAGCCUGAUCCAGCCAUGCCGCGUGUGUGAAGAAGGUCUUCGGAUUGUAAAGCACUUUAAGUUGGGAGGAAGGGCAUUAACCUAAUACGUUAGUGUUUUGACGUUACCGACAGAAUAAGCACCGGCUAACUCUGUGCCAGCAGCCGCGGUAAUACAGAGGGUGCAAGCGUUAAUCGGAAUUACUGGGCGUAAAGCGCGCGUAGGUGGUUUGUUAAGUUGGAUGUGAAAUCCCCGGGCUCAACCUGGGAACUGCAUUCAAAACUGACUGACUAGAGUAUGGUAGAGGGUGGUGGAAUUUCCUGUGUAGCGGUGAAAUGCGUAGAUAUAGGAAGGAACAUCAGUGGCGAAGGCGACCACCUGGACUAAUACUGACACUGAGGUGCGAAAGCGUGGGGAGCAAACA
This 427-nucleotide ribosomal RNA is filed under the name uncultured bacterium. Its description in RNAcentral is "partial 16S ribosomal RNA". It matches the Rfam family "Bacterial small subunit ribosomal RNA", at positions 355 to 774 of the family's 1533-position model. The record is from RNAcentral.